This is a non-coding RNA of Ictidomys tridecemlineatus (thirteen-lined ground squirrel), 181 nucleotides long. Lineage: Eukaryota; Metazoa; Chordata; Mammalia; Rodentia; Sciuridae. The record is from Rfam.
AGCUUUGCGCAGUGGCAGUAUCGUAGCCAAUGAGGUUUAUCCGAGGCACGAUUAUUGCUAAUUGAAAACUAGAACAUCUUGCUGUUAUCUAACUGUAACUUAGUACCCAUUGAUCAACCUUUCUCUAUCCCUCCCACCCUCCAAUGUUACCUUUUGGAAAUUUUUAAAGAAUUUUAAAGUU